This 23-nucleotide microRNA is filed under the name Cordylochernes scorpioides. Lineage: Eukaryota; Metazoa; Arthropoda; Arachnida; Pseudoscorpiones; Chernetidae. The record is from RNAcentral.
AGAAUUGAAUGGUAGGUGAACAA